AGUAAACAUAUAAGGUAACCAAUCUUAUCAGUUAUUAGGUGAAUACAAAUUAAUAUUGUAAUGAGAUACCAUUUCAUCUAUCCUACUGGCAAAAAAAUUAAGUUUGAAAAUAUCAAGCAUUUGUAAGUAUAGGAGCAUCUGCAUUGAAAUGUUCAGCUUAAAACUACAAAGAGUUUUGAGACACCAUGGAGUGCUUGGUACAGAUGAUGUGCACUGUGAUGACCAAUCCAGGAGGCAAGCAGGGCCCAGGCAGAGUCAGGGUAAAACUAUUAGAGGCGUUUGAACCAGAGUGACUCCAUCUUGAAUAGGGCCCACCUUUCAGAAUCCUGGAUGGAGGGGCCUUGGGCUCAGUGGAGGCAGAUGCUAGAUAGUAAGUGUGAGAAGUAGGGCUGACAACAAAGACGCUGAUUAAAGUUGAAUGAUCCAAAGUUUCCAGGACCCUCUGAAGGCCUUUCCAAUUCCAAUAAUGAGAAAAAAACAAGAAAAAUACAAUCAAGUUGUGCAAAGCCAGUAGCUCUGUUACUGACUGGCACCUCUAUCUCUCCAAUUUUCAUCCAAAUAAAUAACUUAUGAUACAAGAUAAAAAUACCUUAUUUUGAAAAUAGCUUCAUAUAAGAGGUUAAAAACAUAUCCCAAUAAUUUUGUUCAAACUUGCUUUACAUCCCUGGAUAUUUUAAUCUAAAACUCACAUCAUGUAAUUCUUCUCCUCUAAAAUAACCUCAUUUCUUUAAAUAUUAAAAUUUCUUUUCCCCAUUAGUAAAAAUAAAAUCAUGUAGGUGCAAUUUUGUUUUCUUUAUGCUUUGGGGACUAAAUUUAACUAAUUAACAUUUUAAUAACAUUCCACCAUUUGUUCCUGCAGAAUUAGGGGACUUGCUCAAGACAGAUUAAGAUAUACUUUGAGCCAUCUGGAAUUCAAGUAGCUUUGAUUUUAAGUAAGUACUUAUUUUCUUAUAUGUUUGUGGACAUUUCAAAGUGAUUAAAAUACAGGCCAUAAGGUAAAUGGACAGAAUAGAAUUUAUUUAUUUUCAUUAUACUUCUCACACUCAAAAGAUUCUGAAUUGCUUCCCUAAAUGGGAUUUAAAUUUUGGUGAGUAUUGUGGCAGAACAGGCACUCA
Molecule: long non-coding RNA, 1115 nt
Filed under: Homo sapiens (human)
Lineage: Eukaryota; Metazoa; Chordata; Mammalia; Primates; Hominidae
Description: non-protein coding lnc-CELF4-12:1
Source: RNAcentral